UACGUAGGUGACCAGCGUUGUCCGGAUUUACUGGGCGUAAAGAGCGCGCAGGCGGUCCUUCAAGUCGAGUGUGAAAGCCCCCGGCUCAACUGGGGAGGGUCAUUCGAUACUGAUCGACUGGAAGGCAGGAGAGGGAAGUGGAAUUCCCGGUGUAGUGGUGAAAUGCGUAGAUAUCGGGAGGAACACCAGUGGCGAAGGCGACUUCCUGGCCUGUUCUUGACGCUGAGGCGCGAAAGCUAGGGGAGCAAACGGG
RNAcentral lists this ribosomal RNA (253 nucleotides) under uncultured Acidobacteriota bacterium. RNAcentral describes it as "uncultured Acidobacteria bacterium partial 16S ribosomal RNA". It matches the Rfam family "Bacterial small subunit ribosomal RNA", at positions 524 to 776 of the family's 1533-position model. Lineage: Bacteria; Pseudomonadati; Acidobacteriota. The record is from RNAcentral.